This 253-nucleotide ribosomal RNA is filed under the name uncultured bacterium. Its description in RNAcentral is "partial 16S ribosomal RNA". It matches the Rfam family "Bacterial small subunit ribosomal RNA", at positions 524 to 776 of the family's 1533-position model. The record is from RNAcentral.
GACGUAGGAUGCGAGCGUUAUUCGGAUUUAUUGGGCGUAAAGCGUGCGUAGGCGGCUAUUUAAGUCUGGUGUUAAAGCUAGGGGCUCAACCCCUGUGAUGCACUGGAUACUGGGUAGCUUGAGUGCGGUAGGGGAAGGUGGAAUUCCGAGUGUAGCGGUGAAAUGCGUAGAUAUUCGGAAGAACACCGGUGGCGAAGGCGACCUUCUGGGCCGCAACUGACGCUGAGGCACGAAAGCCUGGGGAGCGAACGGG